RNAcentral lists this ribosomal RNA (305 nucleotides) under uncultured bacterium. RNAcentral describes it as "bacterial SSU rRNA". It matches the Rfam family "Bacterial small subunit ribosomal RNA", at positions 335 to 655 of the family's 1533-position model. The record is from RNAcentral.
GGUCCCUACGGGACGCAGCAGUGGGGAAUAUUGCACAAUGGGGGAAACCCUGAUGCAGCAACGCCGCGUGAGUGAAGAAGUAUUUCGGUAUGUAAAGCUCUAUCAGUAGGGAAGAAGAAAGACGGUACCUGACUAAGAAGCCCCGGCUAACUACGUGCCAGCAGCCGCGGUAAUACGUGGGGGGCAAGCGUUAUCCGGAUUUACUGGGUGUAAAGGGAGCGUAGACGGCAUAGCAAGUCUGAGGUGAAAGCCCGUGGCUCAACCGCGGAACUGCUCUGGAAACUGUUAAGCUGGAGUACUGGAGA